AUGGCAUCUCUCUCUUCUCUCUCUUCCUCCAUUACUUUUCAUCGUUACCAACUGACCAAAUUGACCGAAAUCAUAGAGGAGAAAAAUACUAUUCAUCAUCUCCCUCUCUUCAAAACACAGCGGCGGAACUAUGAGAUCUCUCCCCUCUCCGAUUUCUCUUUAUUUCUCACUCCCUCUUUCUUCCUUUCAUCCUCUUCUUCCCUUUUUGUUCUUCUUCUCCCUCCAGGUUCCCUUCCUCUGUUCCUCCCCUCGAUUUCCGAUGCAACUGUUAGCAAUGAUGAUCUUUCUCCAAUUCUCUCUCUCUCAUUCUCCCGGAUCAACCUAAUCCACCGAUCGCCUAGAUCACCGAAAAGAUAGUUGUUCAUCUUUCUCUUCGUCUCAACAGAGGCGGCAAGCAGCGAUAGACUCCUCCCCUCUCCGAUCUCUCUCUUGCUAUCUCGUUUCCUUUCCUCCACUUUGCUUUUCUCAUUCCCCCAUCGUCUCUAUCUCAUUUCUCGUGCCCUCCUCUAUUUUGUUGCUAGAGCUAAACAAGCUAGGACAUCAUAUUCAAACCAAUGAUGAAGGAUCCUAUCCCGUUUGUAUGAUAUAGUUAGAAGCCCCACUUACAUCAAUCAACGUCGAAGUAAGAGACCUAGAAUACCAUCGUCGGCACAAGAACAUUCAAAAAUCAUUAGAACGCAUCGGCCAUUGCUUCUCUCUUCUGUUGCAGAGUAGUUCCCGAUUAUAGGCCACAUCGCAAAUAAGUCCCCUGUUCAAGCAAUCGAUUUUAGGCCAUACAGUCCAGUUGGGAGGAGAGAGAUCAAGCUUAUUCAGCUCUUGUAAACUCUUAAUACCAACCCAGAUAUGCUAAUCCUCCUUUUCUUUUGUAGGAUUUGGAUCAUUGUGUAAAUUUUUAGUUGAAUCAAGCAGCUAUAUUAGAAACUAAAUCGAUUCUUUUUUUUUUGUUUUUAAAGAUUGCAGUAUGUUUUCCAGCUUAAUGAGAUGAUGUUGAUAAUGUUGUUAAUUCUCCUCUGGUGUUCUAAGCUUAGAUUUCUCUGUGAUAGGGUGUUCAUUGAAAGCUUGAAAUCAUGAUAUAUCAGUUUAUUCUUCUCUAUUGUCCAAAUGAUUUGAUUUGAUUCAAUGCCUUGAUUAAGACUUGUUUUAUCAUAAUACGUGUUCCCUGCCUUCAAUUGGUAAUGUCUAUAUGGUGGCCAAUUAGUGUGAGAUUUUCAGUUUUUGUAGCUCAUAGUCUAAGUAGAGCAUAUUUGAAUAUAUGAAUACAUCCUCUUAAAAAUAAUAUAAUAAUAAAUAAUAAUAAGUAGUUAGGUGGGUUUAUUUUAUGCUGAUCUAUUCCUGUGCUUUGUUCCUAUUCGUGCUUGUGCUUAUAUAGGAUCCCAUGUGGGCCCCACCUAUCGGACCCGGGAUAGGAGUGCUUAACUCCUUCCCUCUCCCAUCCAAGUCUUACCUGGACUAGUUUAGUCGAUGCCUCGGGCUCUGGAGUUACUAUUGAACCAAAAUGAGUUUUGAUGCGAUUCCCUCUUACAACAAAUCUUAAAACUGUGCCACUUACCAUCUUGAUUUCAUGUUAAAAUAAGUAAUCUUUAUAGGGAAGGGAUCUGCCAUUUACUUCAUUAUUAUCAGAGGUAAUGUCUUUCUCUUUCAUCAUACCUUUGUUCAUUACCAUCUCCAUUAUCAUGAUUCCUUGUCACUGUCCCCAUUUUUCAGACACCUAUUCCUUGGUUAUCACCAUUAUUGUCCUACUACAAUGGUUUUUUAAAGGAUUUCUCCAAUUCAAAGGGAAAUUUAUUACUAUCUUGGAGGAUCAAGAUGAUGCAGUGAUAGAAGGAACUACAUUGACUGUAUACCUUCCUACUAUUGGACCUCUUGCCUCUAAGUGGACAUUAAUUGAUAAGCUUGAUCAUUUAUCUCAUUGGUGUGACGAAUGCAGAAAGGAGUUGAGUGGUUUUCAUAAUAUAGGGGGAACUUAGGUUCACAAAAGGUCACAAUUCUUCAAUCCAACCAUCAUUUUGAGGAUUCUGACUCUCAAUCAUUUCAACUCUUCGAUCACUACAUUCAUGUUGGAGAAACUCAUUAGGGGACUGCAUUAUAAAAUAAAAGUGACAUUUAUACAUUAAAGGAUAUUGGGAAUGGCUAGAAUAUGCUCUUAGUCGAAACCACAAUGUGCUUGAGAAGGCUAAUAUUUACAAUGCUAUUUAUGCUUCUCUUUUCACAUAUGACCACAAUCCUAAUGAUCAUAUGUGCCUUUUGUGAAUCACGGUGCUCUACCACAAACACCCAUCACACUCCUUUAGGAGAGUUAUCCAUUUCACUUUGGGAUUUGCAUAUGAUUGGUGAACUUCCCAUUAGGGGUUAUUUUUAUGAUUAGGUGGUUCUUAGGGGAGGUCUUGAUUCCUUAAGAGUUGUAAGUACUUUUUCCUUGCAUUUCAUCAUCUAAAAGAGAAAGCCGGUGGUGAAUAUGUUGUGAGCAUAACAAAUUGGGUGAAGUAUGGGUUUAAGGGUCCGUUUAGGUAUAGAAAGCCACCCUCCAGGAAUGCAAAGAGAGAAAGGUAGGCAGAGAUAACCUAUAAUCUCUUGGGAAAAAUGACCCUCCCUCCAAACGAUCAUCGGAGGAAGAAUAAGUCUUUGACGAUUUAAGGGUUGAUGACGAGAUCAAAGAGGAGGUCUAUUUAGUUGCAUUCCUUUCUUGUUGGUUAUAUUCAUUUAUUCUUCCUCACAAUGAUGCCUUUUGUUCGACUAGGGAUAUUCAACACUGCUGGCAUGAUGUUGUGUGGCACCCAUUUUUCCUUUUUGUUCAUGUUCUUUCUAGUAUUUAUAGAGGAAUGAAUAAAGUUACCUCCUCUAUAGACCCAGGUGGAUGUAGAGCUGCUUUUCCUAUUCAUUAUGUGUAUAAAUAGUUGGAGAGUACUUUAGGGCCUACUAUGAGUCUCCUUAUUCAAGCACCCCUCAUAUGACUAAAUUUGCUGGGGAAGGGAUGGCAAAACAUUUUAAUGAAUUGGAUGCACGUGCCUUAUUUAGACUUGACAAAUACAUUGCUUGGCAUUGCACAAAGAUAAUCAAUAGCUUCAUGGGUAUUAUCUUGAAUACUUGAUUAGUCUCAAGUCAAGUUAUCUCACCUUCUGGUGUAAGAACUCAUACGUAGUAGAGCCAUAUAGUCCUCAUAGGUUUACCAAAUAAUUUGGGUACACUCAAGAUGUUCCCAAAAAGAUUAUUGAGGAUUUGUGCUCAUGUGACUUGAAACAAGCACUUGGGCUCUAGGGGUCUUACCUUAAAUAUAAUAUGAAGGAGGUGAUAGUUGUUGCAUGCUCUUACCUUAAGGAGGGUCCUCUCACUAUGAGGUACUAUUGCAAAUGGUGGCUUAACAAAACCCCGUGAUUACUUUGCCCUAAGAGUUUAGACCCUUUCUGAGAGUGUCGACCCUAAUUUUUGACUUCCUUAACAAUUUUGACUACAAAAAGGCUAGAAUUUGCAAGCCUAAUUCCAAAUAAGGAAAUUUCAUUAGAAAUGAGGCUAAUGAGAGUGCCAAUGAAACACAUAUUACAAAUAGGGAUGGUCAACAAACUCCACUUCAUUUCCCAUGACAGGCAUUGAUCUGAACUUGCUAAUGAUAAGAGGGAUGUCAUUGGAGCGAUAGAUGAUAAUAUGGAAUACAUAGCAUAUUUUAAUGAAUUGGAUGAUGGUAAUGAUGGGGAUCAAGACAGAUGUUAGAAAUGCUUUAAGUGUGGUCCUAGGGCGUCACUUGAUAAAAGAGAAAGUGCUACCAUUGAAAGACUUAUAAAACCUAAGGAAGUUCCUAACACUACAAGAAAAUAGGCCUAUAGCUACAGCCAAAUCCGUAGCUAUAGGUCUAUAGCUACGGGCUGGCUACGGUCAAGAAACAGUAGCUACAGUCGCGGUGGCUAUAGGCAAUAGCUACGGCUGAACGAAUCUGUAGCUAGAACUAACCUAUAACUACGGUUUGUCUGUGGCUAAAGCCUAAUCUAAAUAAUUAUAUAUGCAUUUGUAGCUAUGGUUUUUAAGUUAUCCGUAGCUACAAACUGACUUUCUAGCUACAGUUUGUGAUGUCCGUAGCUACAAAAUUUGGAUUUAUAGCUAUGAUUUAAAUAGUCGUAGCAAAAGAAUAUCAAUCUAUAACUAUGGAUAUUAACUGACCGUAGCUAAAAAAAAUUAACCUAUAGCUACGGUUCAUGUUGUCAGUAGCAAAAGAACAACAAUCUAUAGCUACGGAUGUGAAUUGUUGGUAGCUAGAAAAAAUAAAUCUAUAGCUACGGUUUACAUUGACUGUAGCUAAAAAUAUAAACCUAUAACUACUCUUUGGUUAAUGACUAGAUCCUAAAAUUUUUUCAUUAUUUUUUGAAGCCUUGUUUCCUGUAUUGAAUACAAGCACAACUAAUUCAUAAUAUAAGAUGAAACUUGAAUUUAAAAUUUCAUUAAAAGAUUAUAUAAUAAACAAAUGAAUUAUAUCUCAAGGUGCUUUAACAUCCAUGUGCUUGCUACAAAUUCAAGGUUCUUGAAUACAUGAAACUCAAACCAAAAAAAAAAACUUGGUGUGUAAAAUUUGAUCAAAUGUCUCUGCGAAGUAUCCUCCUUUACCAUGUUCAACCUAUAAGAAAAUAAUAGAAAAUAAGUUAGAAAUCACAUUUUUGGGGAUAUAAAAUCAUGUAUGAAAAUUUAAUUAAUUAUGCAAUAUAAACUUGCCUACUUUACAAGCCUAAUGUUAAACAAAUGACAAAUGUAAGGAUUGAGAUCAAAAUUGAGACGAGGCUUAGGAUUUUUUUUUUUGCAAUUAUGCAUAUCUAAGAACAUGACUGUAAAAAUACCUUGGGGGUGAGGGCUCCAAGCCAUAAAUCACUAUAAUGCAAAAUGGAUAUACUGCUUAUAUAAUUACAAGAAUUUAUGGGUCAAGCCUUCAAGAUAUCAUAAUGUGUCAAAAUAAAUUCACUCCACCCAAGUAGUACGAGUUUCUUUUGAUCAAGGCAAGUAGCUUUGAAGAAAGCCAGUGGAGAUUUUCUAACCGGAGAACUCAAAUUUUCAUCAUAGAACAGUUCUUCCAGUUGUCCCUAGGUUCCACCCUCUUCCCUUUUCUAUCUGGUUUUUCUUUUGUUGCACUUCCUUAGGACCCCUGGGAGCUUUUUUUCUUUUUUCUUUUUUUUUAUAGGCAAAGAGACAAGCUCAUUUUAAUAUUGAUACAGCAAAGCACCAUUAUUGCAGCACUUAUCUUACACAUUUGAAUGUUUCGUCAAUGACUACACGGUCCAUAGCCUUCAGUUGCCACACAAACAACUUCUGGUUGGUAAGAGAAGAAAAUUCAUCUUGUGAAUUGGGACCAAGUUUGCUUACCUAGAAAGGAAGGGGGUCUAGAGGAAGCUGAAGGUGAUAAAUACUGCCUUGCUUAGCAAGUGGUGCUGGAGAUUUGCUACUGAAAGAACCUCCUAGUGGAGGAGUUCAAAGUGGGCAGAGAUGACAAGGUUAAAUUUUGGAGGGACCCCUGGUGUCUGAACAUGCCCUAGUUGAACCCAAAUCUGCCAUUGCAGUUAUCAACAACCAAAGAGGUUAGCAAUUGCUCUUUAGAUCAGACUAGAUGGUCUGACCUCUAGAACCAGAAAGCACAAGUAGAAUGGUUUUUUUUUUUUAUUGUUUCUCAGUUCUUAUAAAUGUCAACUUGUUCAAGUUUAAUUCCUCAUUUGCAUUGGGAUCACAUGUGUCAUAUACCCUUCAACAUUUAUUGGUUUUAGUUUAUUUUGAUAUAAAUUGUUUUUUUACUUUUCAUAUUUUUCACAUUUUUAUUUGAGCAAGUUGAAUAGUCGUUUUUUUUUGAAAAAAAGUUAACUGAUUUCAUUAAUAAAAGAGAGGGUACACAAGUGGGUGUACAAAGAAAAAAAAAAAAAGAAAAAGAAAAACAAGGAUCAGACCCCUAAUAACUCCUCUAACACCUUAGGCCCCUGGAUCGCCUAAGUAAUGUUGACAACAAGGCACUAGGCUGCCAUUCUACAAACAUAUCACCUGAAAGCUUGAACUAUACAAAUCACUUAAGAUUCCUAUUGUACAUUUUCCCUCAUUAAGCAAGUAUCCAGGUCUCAUACUCUUAUUCAGAAACAAUCAUUUCAUUUAGCAUUUGUUUUAGUCUUGGCCCACAUAACCUGUUGCACUGGUAGCCCUUGCUUAAUUCUAACCAAUUGUCAUUUGUUCAAGCUAAUUAUUGAACUUUAUCUUUGCUGGAGAUUAGCUAUAUUAUUUCCUUCCUCUGUAAAUGUACAUCCAAUCUGCAAUAUCUUAAUCAGUUGGUAUUCUGCCCAAGUGCUUUAUAACCAUUUUGGUGCGCAUGAAGUUUCCAAUUUUCAGCAGGUUAAGGAGAAACCAUUUUUCUUGUGGAUGAGAAUAUGGAUAUACAAGGGCCAGUUUCAAAGGUGUUUGUAUAAUGUGGCUCAAUUUUUUAACUAGACUCCAUGGGGUGUUUUGCCAGAUCAUGCAUGCAUUAAGAGUAGUUCACUUUUGCAGAUUAGACUAGACCACUCUUGCUAAGUCUAGGCCACUAUAGGUUUUAUAGUUUCAUGCUAGCCUGAAAUUCACACACCCAUGAUGGWGAUGAUAACUGAUAAGAUGGAUGAGUGGGAAAAACAAGAAAUGAUAAAAAUACAAACAAAAUGAAUAAAUAAUGCAUCCAAAAGAACCUUGGCUGGCCCCAAACUGCAACAAGAUAAGGAAAACUAAUUUAGAACAAUGGCCACAUGGAUCAGGAAUAAAAAUGAUGAAAUGUUAACUUGCUGAGAUUGAUCAAACUUGUCACAAUUGAAAUAAACUUAAUGUUUUACCAAAUACUUGUGCCACUACCAAAAUCCACUGUCUAAUCCCCAUCCAGAUUUGUCCCCACAAGCCUGCUCAUACCCACAACAACGGGAAACAUUAAUGAUGUACCAGACGUGUGGUCAUAAAUGUGAUUGAUUGUUGGUGUUGGAACCUCAAGACGGGGGGCUAGCAAGGCAGUGGUCCCUUGGCUUCAAUCAGCUAUGCUGGUGUAAUAGUUGCAUAGGGUGAUGAAAUGUCCCUUGUCCUGGCUCCUAGAGGCAUUGACAUACCCAGAAAGGAUACUUGGCCUUGCAUUGCUUACACCCAUUCAUAAUUAGACAACCAAAUUUUUUACUCUAUCAAAGUUCAAUCGGAAUAUAUGGGGAUUUGUUUUUUGUUCUUAAAGAGGAAGAAUUGAGACAAGUUUGGGUAGAAUGGAAUUUUGAUGUCACAACCCAAUCUCAGAAGGUGCCAUGAGUGUGACAGACCAACCACAUUGACAGGAAAGGAUUCAAAAAAGGCCCAUUUGUUUGCAACAGAGAGCAUAUAAGAUUUAACCUGCAACUCAACAGAUUUGAACCUGUCCCAUGGAGGAUUUAUUUUCCAUUAAGGAACUAGCAUUGUCUUGGGAACUUGUGUUUAUGUCAUGCUGUCAAAACCAGUAAAGUUAAUCUUAUUCACUUCUUUCUUCUCCAUGCAGGCUGGUUUGGUCAGAGAAAAAUCAUUUGGUACAACAAAAGAUCGGAUGCUUUAUAUUGAGAAAUGUGGGUCUGCCCUUGGCUCAUAUUGUUUACAUUAACCAUGAAUUAGCUUAGCAUUUGCAAGUGAAGGCUUCACAACUUAUGCUUGUUGAUGAGAUUAUCUAGACUGAAUAGAUGACAAAAGGAAAACAAAGCUGGGAUUGUGGAAAGAUGUCCAAGGAUCUAAAGGAUCUUAAGAUAAGUAGAACUAAAGCAGAAUACCUGUAAUGCAAAUUUAGUAACAAAAUAUGUGAAAGUGAGGGCAUUAGAAUUCAAGACCAAAUGAUAACAAUGAAUUAACUCUAGGAUGUAAAGGCCACCACUGUAUUUAAAGAAGGGAUAUGAUGGAGUGUAGAUAGGAACCUCACAUUCCCAAGGACUAAGAGGAAUUCUUGGCAGGUGCGGCUCAAAAGUGAGAAUUUGCUGGCUGUAUGCCAAAGACUUAGAUUGAGGAAAGCCAUAACUAUUGAGGAAAGCCAUAACUAUAUAAGGAAAACCGUAGGGGCUUCAUAAUUGAAAGGGACUUGGCAGUACUGACAUAUUGUGUGCAAAAGGUGAGGGCCCUAGCUAGGAACUAUCAUUGUGAAAAAAUGACAGUCUAGGGACUUUGAUCUCCAUUGAAAGGAAAGCUUUGCUCUUGGUUGGCACUUGUCAGAACCCAAAGAGUUCAGAGAUAUAGCUUAUAAUAGAUUUUUGUCUUUGUGUUCACAUGUCAAAACCCUUGUUUUGGUAGAAUUAACAGCAGAACUCUGUAUCCACAAAUUUCUACAGAAAUACCAUAUUUUACCUUUUCAAAACAGGGAAAAUAAUUCUAAUAAGUCUAUGUUCACAAAGUUUGAAUAGCUUGAUGGUUUAUCCCUAUUGUAAAUAUAUAACAGGGAUUAUGUGUAACCGAAGAGUUGAUGGACUGAUGCCAAGUCCAUCAGUCCCAGUGUAUGUGUAUGUGUAACUGCAGAUUAUGGACACAAAGUCUAUGUCCACAAAGCUUGAAGGAUUAUCCCUGUGUCCACAUGUAUAAUAGGAAAUAAUUAUGCUACCUCUGUGUUCACAAAGUCUGAUGCCAAGGAUUAUCCCUGUCAGAAAAAAAGAUAACUAAUUAUGUUUUCAGAUACCAAUGAAUUUGUUCUGUUACCAAUUAAGAAAGAGGAGUGAAACUGCUACUAGGUGUUUCAAUGUCCAACAUUUGCACUUAAUCCAUAUUUACAAUCAAUAAUUAAAUUAUGAGCAACAAGCUCAAUAAGGGAAAUGAAAGAAUGAUCCCUAAAUAAAGAACAAGAAGUCAUGCAAGAACAAGAAAAGUGUAAUAAUUUUCAAAUGGAUAGAGAUGUAUACAGUAAACAAGUUAAGAAAGAAAGAAGAAAAGGAAGACUCACAUCAUGUUGAGCAAGAUCAAGGCGAUUCCGCAACACCGGUAGAACAAGUUUAGUUUGUUUACCCUUUUUUGCAGCCUCCUCAAUUUUCUACACAUAUAAAAGCAAAACAAUAGACAUGAAAAUUAACUACAUCAAAUAGAAAGGCUCAAAUAACUAACAGAUUACUUUGUAUUUAAAAUACAAGAUUUAAGAGGCAUGAUAAUGAUGCAAGUGGGAUAAAGUAAGAAAACUUCUUCUUGAUUCAAAUUCCCUGAUUUUUUAUAUACAACUCUUCAGAUUACCUCACUAGUCAACUGAAUACGAGGAUGAUGUUUCCUCUCAGACCACCCAAUAUGUCCUUUCUGUAAUGGAGGGUGUCAAUCCUGAAUUUUCCAUUGUCUCUGAACAAAGGACCUGAUCCUAAUACCAUUGAGAAUACUGAAGUUUUAAGCUUUUAUCUCUAAUAAAUGCUUAUUUUCUUGUUGGAAACCUGCAUCUCUGAGUUGGGAUGAUUAUCUACUAUUUGACUCACAUAUCACUUUGCUACUGCUAUUAUACAAAGUGGUCUAUGAUAAUUGAUGAGAGACAAGAAUUGUUUGUAAUUACCCUCUUAACAAAAUAAUUCUGUCCCCCAAAAUAGAGAAUAGAAAGAAAGCAAAGGAAAAAAAGAAUAUUGGCAGUAAGUAGCAGGAUAAAACUCUUAGGAGCUGUUUGAUAACUGUUGGUUUGGCUGAACUGAAAUCAGCUUUUUUAUAGUAAAUUUAACAGUCAUUUAAUGGAAUAUUUAGGAGUAAUAAUGUUACCCCAUCAAACCAUUAAGCAGGUAAGGAGAUCACUACUACUUUAGUGUUUAUACAUUGACUAAAAGACAGACCAAUGAAAGUACAAGCCAAUAAGUCAAGCUUUGGGUAUUUUCUUCUUUUUCAUUCCUUAUAAAUACUGAUUGAAAAAUGUGUCAGAGUGAGGGUCAUCGUCAAAUACUGACAAGAGAGCUAGAAGCUGUGGGCCUAUGUUUGAACAAGAAGCCUCCUCAAGUAAGACUAUUCUUUCAAGCAUGUUUAUGACUGUAAAUUAUAAAAAAUAAAGGAUGUCUAUAGCUUUCAGCAUUCUCAUUUAUAUGCUUUUAUAACUGUGUAUGUUUAUACUUGUAUAUUCCUGCAGAUAUCUCCUUAACAUUGUUUGCAGGCAUCUGCAUAUGAGCACCCGUUAACCAUUGCCGGUUAUCCAGUUUUUUAAUCCAUGUGUCUAGGGAAAGUAUAAAACUAUUUAAGGAUACAUCUGUCAAUUUACGUGAUGCACUUGGUUCAUACCUAGACUUCCAUCUAUUGCUAGAUCAUCUAUUGCCUACA
Molecule: long non-coding RNA, 10224 nt
Organism: Nelumbo nucifera (sacred lotus)
Lineage: Eukaryota; Viridiplantae; Streptophyta; Magnoliopsida; Proteales; Nelumbonaceae
Source: RefSeq, a predicted model, not a curated record